GACGAACGCUGGCGGCGUGCUUAACACAUGCAAGUCGAACGGAAAGGCCCUGCUUUUGUGGGGUGCUCGAGUGGCGAACGGGUGAGUAACACGUGAGUAACCUGCCCUUGACUUUGGGAUAACUUCAGGAAACUGGGGCUAAUACCGGAUAGGAGCUCCUGCUGCAUGGUGGGGGUUGGAAAGUUUCGGCGGUUGGGGAUGGACUCGCGGCUUAUCAGCUUGUUGGUGGGGUAGCGGCUUACCAAGGCUUUGACGGGUAGCCGGCCUGAGAGGGUGACCGGCCACAUUGGGACUGCGAGACGGCCCAGACUCCUACGGGAGGCAGCAGUGGGGAAUAUUGCACAAUGGGCGGAAGCCUGAUGCAGCAACGCCGCGUGCGGGAUGACGGCCUUCGGGUUGUAAACCGCUUUCGCCUGUGACGAAGCGUGAGUGACGGUAAUGGGUAAAGAAGCACCGGCUAACUACGUG
This 468-nucleotide ribosomal RNA is filed under the name uncultured bacterium. RNAcentral's name for it is "partial 16S ribosomal RNA". It matches the Rfam family "Bacterial small subunit ribosomal RNA", at positions 28 to 507 of the family's 1533-position model. The record is from RNAcentral.